RNAcentral lists this ribosomal RNA (513 nucleotides) under uncultured bacterium. RNAcentral describes it as "partial 16S ribosomal RNA". It matches the Rfam family "Bacterial small subunit ribosomal RNA", at positions 28 to 523 of the family's 1533-position model. The record is from RNAcentral.
GACGAACGCUGGCGGCAUGCCUAAUACAUGCAAGUCGAGCGAACAGAUGAAGUGCUUGCACUUCUGACGUUAGCGGCGAACGGGCGAGUAACACGUAAGGAAUCUACCUAUAAGCGGGGGAUAACAUUCGGAAACGGGUGCUAAUACCGCAUAAUAUCUUCUUCCGCAUGGAAGAAGAUUGAAAGACGGCUCUGCUGUCACUUAUAGAUGACCUUGCGGUGCAUUAGUUAGUUGGUGGGGUAAUGGCCUACCAAGACAAUGAUGCAUAGCCGACCUGAGAGGGUGAACGGCAACGUUGGGCCUGAGACACGGCCCAAACUCCUACGGGAGGCAGCAGUAGGGAAUCUUCCGCAAUGGGCGAAAGCCUGACGGAGCAAUGCCGCGUGAGUGAAGAAGGCCUUCGGGUCGUAAAACUCUGUUAUAAGAGAAGAACAAAUUGUAGAGUAACUGCUACAGUCUUGACGGUAUCUUAUCAGAAAGCCACAGCUAACUACGUGCCAGCCGCCGCCGUAA